Long non-coding RNA from Saccostrea cuccullata (small rock oyster), 546 nucleotides. RefSeq lists it as uncharacterized. The transcript has 3 exons. Lineage: Eukaryota; Metazoa; Mollusca; Bivalvia; Ostreida; Ostreidae. The record is from RefSeq and is a predicted model, not a curated record.
UCAAGCAGUACCUGGUUUCUCAUAAAUUCUAUUUGCUGACAAGGUCACCGUAUUGACCACUUAAUUUACGGAAUUAUGAUUUUAAUCAGCAUUCAACUGUCGACAUCCUUGUCUAAUCAACUUAUUUUUCAUCAACUUACCUCGUUUUAGAAAUUGUUCAUAGAAUGAACAGCCCAUAUGAGUGGUUAAGAAUGGGUAAAUUGCAUGAAUUUGAGAUAUUUCUUUCUCUUUUUGGUUAAGAUCUCUCAGAAGACUUGUGUACAACAACGAAGGAAUGUACUGAUGUAUCUAAGACCUGUUUCCGAUCUGGGGCACAAGAAUAUGGUAUUUGUAUAUGUAAACCUGAAUAUAUAGGAUUUGGAACCGAUUGUUUAAAAGGAAAUUUGAAACUGGGAUACCAAUGCAAGCGAAAUGAGCAGUGUUUUGUGACAUCUGGUUCCGUUUGUAAGAACGGUACUUGUGUCUGUGGGCCAGGAUAUGUCCAACUGAGUGAUUCGGAGUGUUUUCCACUACAUCUCACAAAAGAUUUGUGCAUAUCGACCAAGG